UUCCUACGGGGGGCAGCAGUGGGGAAUAUUGCACAAUGGGGGAAACCCUGAUGCAGCAACGCCGCGUGAAGGAAGACGGUUUUCGGAUUGUAAACUUCUGUUCUUAGUGAAGAAGAAUGACGGUAAUUACUUAGAAAGUCACGGCUAACUACGUGCCAGCAGCCGCGGUAAUACGUAGGUGGCAAGCGUUGUCCGGAUUUAUUGGGCGUAAAGCGAGUGCAGGCGGUUCAAUAAGUCUGAUGUGAAAGCCUUCGGCUCAACCGGAGAAUUGCAUCAGAAACUGUUGAACUU
Molecule: ribosomal RNA, 291 nt
Filed under: uncultured bacterium
Lineage: Bacteria
Description: partial 16S ribosomal RNA
Rfam family: Bacterial small subunit ribosomal RNA
Source: RNAcentral